UACGGGAGGCAGCAGUGAGGAAUAUUGGUCAAUGGGCGCAAGCCUGAACCAGCCAUCCCGCGUGAAGGAAGACGGCCCUAUGGGUUGUAAACUUCUUUUGUACAUGGAGAACGUUUCUUACGAGUAAGAGAGUGACGGUAAUGUACGAAUAAGCAUCGGCUAACUCCGUGCCAGCAGCCGCGGUAAUACGGAGGAUGCAAGCGUUAUCCGGAUUUAUUGGGUUUAAAGGGUACGUAGGUGGCCCGGUAAGUCAGUGGUGAAAACCUGUCGCUUAACGAUAGGCGUGCCAUUGAUACUGCUGGGCUUGAGUACAGAUGAGGUAAGCGGAAUGUGUAGUGUAGCGGUGAAAUGCAUAGAUAUUACACAGAACUCCGAUUGCGAAGGCAGCUUACUAAACUGACACUGACGCUGAGGUACGAAAGCGUGGGUAGCGAACAGGAUUAGAUACCCUGGUAGUCCACGCCGUAAACGAUGUUCACUCGCUGUAUGCGAUACACAGUAUGCGGCCAAGCGAAAGCGCUAAGUGAGCCACCUGGGGAGUACGCCGGCAACGGUGAAACUCAAAGGAAUUGACGG
RNAcentral lists this ribosomal RNA (576 nucleotides) under uncultured bacterium. RNAcentral describes it as "bacterial SSU rRNA". It matches the Rfam family "Bacterial small subunit ribosomal RNA", at positions 340 to 916 of the family's 1533-position model. The record is from RNAcentral.